Molecule: ribosomal RNA, 501 nt
Filed under: uncultured bacterium
Lineage: Bacteria
Description: partial 16S ribosomal RNA
Rfam family: Bacterial small subunit ribosomal RNA
Source: RNAcentral
AUUGAACGCUGGCGGCAGGCUUAACACAUGCAAGUCGAGCGGGGGAAGGUAGCUUGCUACCGGACCUAGCGGCGGACGGGUGAGUAAUGCUUAGGAAUCUGCCUAUUAGUGGGGGACAACAUCUCGAAAGGGAUGCUAAUACCGCAUACGUCCUACGGGAGAAAGCAGGGGAUCUUCGGACCUUGCGCUAAUAGAUGAGCCUAAGUCGGAUUAGCUAGUUGGUGGGGUGAAGGCCUACCAAGGCGACGAUCUGUAGCGGGUCUGAGAGGAUGAUCCGCCACACUGGGACUGAGACACGGCCCAGACUCCUACGGGAGGCAGCAGUGGGGAAUAUUGGACAAUGGGGGGAACCCUGAUCCAGCCAUGCCGCGUGUGUGAGGAAGGCCUUAUGGUUGUAAAGCACUUUAAGCGAGGAGGAGGCUACUCUAGUUAAUACCUAGGGAUAGUGGACGUUACUCGCAGAAUAAGCACCGGCUAACUCUGUGCCAGCAGCCGCCGUAA